Long non-coding RNA from Cyprinus carpio (common carp), 1438 nucleotides. The record is from Ensembl. NCBI's taxonomy places the organism in Eukaryota, Metazoa, Chordata, Actinopteri, Cypriniformes, Cyprinidae.
CCAUUUUUAAUCGUAUAAAUACUGGGAACUAUAUUCUCACUAGGCGUAGGAGCACAGCGAACGUUACUUGGGCGGAGUGGCUACUUGGGCGGAGUGAUUAGCGCAGCACCCGAGACGCCCUGUUGACGAGACAGGGGUAACUGCAGCCUGGAGCAAUGGGCGUGCCGAAACGUAGGGGCGUGCCAAAAGGUUUCUCAUUGGUGAAAGGAGUUUUACUGUGUUGGCCAAUCAGCGGUUAAUAUACAUUUACGUAAUUUCCUUAGACAAGAGAAGGUGGCGGCGAUAAGACGUGAGGUAAUUAUACAUCAUACGUUUAUCUAUGCUAUAUAUACCACAAAUAUGUAUAUUAAGGUAGCUUGUUACAAUACGAUCAUAAUUUUGCCUUUGCGUUACAUCUUGCAGCUUUAGUAAUUGGUUUAUUGUUGUUGACAGACAUACUGGAUGUACAGUGAGACAAAACGAUGUCUGCAUCUGCAUCGAAGCUCUCAGAGUUGAUAGUUUAUAUCUGCGUCCUUUUUGUGCAAUACAGUACAGAAUACAUCCUGUAAGAAUAAUAAUUAUUACCACCUUUGCUAUUACAACUGAACUAAAGAUCAAUUUACAAUCUAUGAAGACGAUUAGACAAAAUCAAAAAACUAAUUUAGAGAUCUGCAUCUGCAUCGAAGCUCUCAGAGUUGAUAGUUUAUAUCUGCGUCCUUUUUGUGCAAUACAGUACAGAAUACAUCCUGUAAUAAUUAUAAUUAUUACCACCUUUGCUAUUACAACUGAACUAAAGAUCAAUUUACAAUCUAUGAAGACGAUUAGACAAAAUCAAAAAACUAAUUUAGAGUUUGUUUCUACCUUUCUGCUAGGUGUCCAACUAAUGCAGAGUAUAUUCAAGUUGCCAACACACUGAUUGUGAAGUACCCUUUCCAGAGAAAUAUAGAAGGAAAUUACUGUGAAACUUGUGUUGGGGAGGAUUCAGUGUCUGUUGAGGUCCAUGUGAAUGUGCUACAAAGUGAGUAUCAGAAAACACAUCCAGACACCUGGACUGUUAAAGACCACCCGGCAGGAACAUUCUCCUGGAGACGCUGAGAAAGCACGGAAGGAAUGUCUGUGGAAGAUGUACUCAAAAAAACACCCAUACUUAAGGACACCUGCUGGAGGGGACACUGCUACACUCUUUCCUACCACCCACCUCAUCGAUACUGCCUGUAACCUGGCAAUCAUAGGAGGAGCGUUCAGUGUGGAGCCAGAAGAUGGAAUAGAUGUGUGUCAGUGCACCAGCCUUGAUGAAGCCUUCAUAACAGCCUUCUGUGUGUAUUCUGCUUUCAACAUUGCAUAUCCAACACACCUGAGAAAGACACUGACUUUCCUUCGGAGGCACAUUCUCAACAUUAGAAGAUGGAGACAAGCACUGCCAGUAUGGUUGACUGGAAGUCUGUCAGUCCAGAUGUGA